GAUGAACGCUGGCGGCGUGCCUAAUACAUGCAAGUCGAGCGAACAGAUAGGGAGCUUGCUCCUUUGACGUUAGCGGCGGACGGGUGAGUAACACGUGGGUAACCUACCUAUAAGACUGGAAUAACUCCGGGAAACCGGGGCUAAUGCCGGAUAACAUUUAGAACCGCAUGGUUCUAAAGUGAAAGAUGGUUUUGCUAUCACUUAUAGAUGGACCCGCGCCGUAUUAGCUAGUUGGUAAGGUAACGGCUUACCAAGGCAACGAUACGUAGCCGACCUGAGAGGGGGAUCGGCCACACUGGAACUGAGACACGGUCCAGACUCCUACGGGAGGCAGCAGUAGGGAAUCGUCCGCAAUGGGCGAAAGCCUGACGGAGCAACGCCGCGUGAGUGAUGAAGGUCUUCGGAUCGUAAAACUCUGUUAUUAGGGAAGAACAAAUGUGUAAGUAACUGUGCACGUCUUGACGGUACCUAAUCAGAAAGCCACGGCUAACUACGUG
Molecule: ribosomal RNA, 497 nt
Filed under: uncultured bacterium
Lineage: Bacteria
Description: partial 16S ribosomal RNA
Rfam family: Bacterial small subunit ribosomal RNA
Source: RNAcentral